GCUCAGGACGAACGCUGGCGGCGCGCCUAACACAUGCAAGUCGAACGAGAGAGAAGGAGCUUGCUUCUUCAAUCGAGUGGCGAACGGGUGAGUAACGCGUGAGGAACCUGCCUCAAAGAGGGGGACAACAGUUGGAAACGACUGCUAAUACCGCAUAAGCCCACGGGUCGGCAUCGACCAGAGGGAAAAGGAGCAAUCCGCUUUGAGAUGGCCUCGCAUCCGAUUAGCUAGUUGGCGAGGUAACGGCCCACCAAGGCGACGAUCGGUAGCCGGACUGAGAGGUUGAACGGCCACAUUGGGACUGAGACACGGCCCAGACUCCUACGGGAGGCAGCAGUA
RNAcentral lists this ribosomal RNA (339 nucleotides) under uncultured bacterium. RNAcentral describes it as "bacterial SSU rRNA". It matches the Rfam family "Bacterial small subunit ribosomal RNA", at positions 22 to 356 of the family's 1533-position model. The record is from RNAcentral.